RNAcentral lists this ribosomal RNA (439 nucleotides) under uncultured bacterium. RNAcentral describes it as "partial 16S ribosomal RNA". It matches the Rfam family "Bacterial small subunit ribosomal RNA", at positions 339 to 795 of the family's 1533-position model. The record is from RNAcentral.
CUACGGGACGCUCCAGUGGGGAAUAUUGCACAAUGGAGGAAACUCUGAUGCAGCAACGCCGCGUGGAGGAUGACACUUUUCGGAGCGUAAACUCCUUUUAUAUAGGAAGAAGAUGACGGUACUAUAUGAAUAAGCGCCGGCUAACUCCGUGCCAGCAGCCGCGGUAAUACGGAGGGCGCAAGCGUUACUCGGAAUCACUGGGCGUAAAGAGCGUGUAGGCGGAUUAAAAAGUCAGAAGUGAAAUCCUAUAGCUUAACUAUAGAACUGCUUCUGAGACUCUUAAUCUAGAAUAUGGGAGAGGUAGAUGGAAUUUCUGGUGUGGGGGUAAAAUCCGUAGAGAUCAGAAGGAAUACCGAUUGCGAAGGCGAUCCACUAGAACAUUAUUGACGCUGAGACGCGAAAGCGUGGGGAGCAAACAGGAUUAGAUACCCCGGUAGUC